Molecule: ribosomal RNA, 954 nt
Filed under: Triticum aestivum (bread wheat)
Lineage: Eukaryota; Viridiplantae; Streptophyta; Magnoliopsida; Poales; Poaceae
Description: partial small subunit ribosomal RNA
Source: RNAcentral
AUGCAGUAUGGCGGGGAUUGGGACGGUUCCAACGUCCACAAGGAUCACGUCGAAUUCCUCCGCAAGACAUGGCGGCUGCCCGGCGCGGACAAGGUGGAGGUCCGUCUCGCGCCGGCGAAGGAGAUUACGCCGGAGCCGCGGGAGGGCGAGCGGGUAGUCUUUCGCUCGCAUUUCUUGCGCGACAUCGGCCUGCCCGUGAGCGCCUUCUUCCGCUCUUGGCUCGAGUUCUACCAACUCCAGCCGCACCACCUCCCCCCAAACACAGUGGUGCUGCUGUCCGCCUUCGUCACCUUGUGCGAAGGCUACCUCGGCGUCCUCCCCACCCUCGAGCUCUGGGGGGAGUUCUUCCAGUCCAAGCUGGGCACGCGCAUGCAAGGCGUGCCGGCUCAGAGUGGCGCCUUCAUCGCGAUGCGGAGGGUGGCUGCCGACAACCCCUUCCCCGUCAUCACGCUGAUCCAGUCGGUGAAGCUAUGGCAAAAGUCAUACUUCUACGUGAGGAACGUCGCCCCGCAGGGCGACUACGUCAAUCUGCCGGCUUACGUAGCCGGCCCACCGGCGGGCAGGCGGCCCCAGUGGUCCUACCGGGCCGUGACGCUGACGCCGGCUGGAAACGCAGCCGUCGCCCGAGUGCGAGCGAUGAUCCAGUCGGAGGGCUUGUCGGGGCCCGACUCGCUGGCCGCCUUCGUCACGCGCCGGGUACUCCCGCUCCAGAGCCGCCCUCAUCUGAUCUGUCAGAUGAGCGGCCAGCUUGAUCCGAGCCGGAUGUGUACCAAGGACAUGCCGCACGACGAGGUGGCAUAUAUGGUGAACUACCUUGCGAACUGCAAACUCUCCGCAGAGUGGAAGUUCGGCAAGGAGCCAUAUUGCCGAGCCAAUCCGCCGCCUACGGUAUGUUCUCCUUGUCUCUUCUUCUUCUCUCAGUUUUGUCGCCGAGUUCCUUUUGGCCGACUCUGA